Molecule: ribosomal RNA, 1530 nt
Filed under: Salmonella enterica
Lineage: Bacteria; Pseudomonadati; Pseudomonadota; Gammaproteobacteria; Enterobacterales; Enterobacteriaceae
Description: bacterial SSU rRNA
Rfam family: Bacterial small subunit ribosomal RNA
Source: RNAcentral
AGAGUUUGAUCAUGGCUCAGAUUGAACGCUGGCGGCAGGCCUAACACAUGCAAGUCGAACGGUAACAGGAAGCAGCUUGCUGCUUUGCUGACGAGUGGCGGACGGGUGAGUAAUGUCUGGGAAACUGCCUGAUGGAGGGGGAUAACUACUGGAAACGGUGGCUAAUACCGCAUAACGUCGCAAGACCAAAGAGGGGGACCUUCGGGCCUCUUGCCAUCAGAUGUGCCCAGAUGGGAUUAGCUGGUUGGUGAGGUAACGGCUCACCAAGGCGACGAUCCCUAGCUGGUCUGAGAGGAUGACCAGCCACACUGGAACUGAGACACGGUCCAGACUCCUACGGGAGGCAGCAGUGGGGAAUAUUGCACAAUGGGCGCAAGCCUGAUGCAGCCAUGCCGCGUGUAUGAAGAAGGCCUUCGGGUUGUAAAGUACUUUCAGCGGGGAGGAAGGUGUUGUGGUUAAUAACCGCAGCAAUUGACGUUACCCGCAGAAGAAGCACCGGCUAACUCCGUGCCAGCAGCCGCGGUAAUACGGAGGGUGCAAGCGUUAAUCGGAAUUACUGGGCGUAAAGCGCACGCAGGCGGUCUGUCAAGUCGGAUGUGAAAUCCCCGGGCUCAACCUGGGAACUGCAUUCGAAACUGGCAGGCUUGAGUCUUGUAGAGGGGGGUAGAAUUCCAGGUGUAGCGGUGAAAUGCGUAGAGAUCUGGAGGAAUACCGGUGGCGAAGGCGGCCCCCUGGACAAAGACUGACGCUCAGGUGCGAAAGCGUGGGGAGCAAACAGGAUUAGAUACCCUGGUAGUCCACGCCGUAAACGAUGUCUACUUGGAGGUUGUGCCCUUGAGGCGUGGCUUCCGGAGCUAACGCGUUAAGUAGACCGCCUGGGGAGUACGGCCGCAAGGUUAAAACUCAAAUGAAUUGACGGGGGCCCGCACAAGCGGUGGAGCAUGUGGUUUAAUUCGAUGCAACGCGAAGAACCUUACCUGGUCUUGACAUCCACAGAACUUUCCAGAGAUGGACUGGUGCCUUCGGGAACUGUGAGACAGGUGCUGCAUGGCUGUCGUCAGCUCGUGUUGUGAAAUGUUGGGUUAAGUCCCGCAACGAGCGCAACCCUUAUCCUUUGUUGCCAGCGGUCAGGCCGGGAACUCAAAGGAGACUGCCAGUGAUAAACUGGAGGAAGGUGGGGAUGACGUCAAGUCAUCAUGGCCCUUACGACCAGGGCUACACACGUGCUACAAUGGCGCAUACAAAGAGAAGCGACCUCGCGAGAGCAAGCGGACCUCAUAAAGUGCGUCGUAGUCCGGAUUGGAGUCUGCAACUCGACUCCAUGAAGUCGGAAUCGCUAGUAAUCGUGGAUCAGAAUGCCACGGUGAAUACGUUCCCGGGCCUUGUACACACCGCCCGUCACACCAUGGGAGUGGGUUGCAAAAGAAGUAGGUAGCUUAACCUUCGGGAGGGCGCUUACCACUUUGUGAUUCAUGACUGGGGUGAAGUCGUAACAAGGUAACCGUAGGGGAACCUGCGGUUGGAUCACCU